Molecule: long non-coding RNA, 360 nt
Filed under: Elaeis guineensis (African oil palm)
Lineage: Eukaryota; Viridiplantae; Streptophyta; Magnoliopsida; Arecales; Arecaceae
Description: long non-coding RNA (EGUI_LNC016077)
Source: RNAcentral
UGGGCGGAAGAAAAGAGUUAAUGGAGGUCUGAAGAACUGAAAAUGAUGAGGAAUCUUCAGGACCUAGGAAGCAAGUUGUGAGAGAGCUCAUUACGGAAAAUAAGAUAUGGUCUUAUAAUGGAAAAAAUUUGUUAUCUGAAACAAAUAUAACCACUCCCACAUUCCACAUAUUUAAAAAAAUUCUCAAGCCAUAAAAUUAUUACAAUAGAAAAUUCUGAUACUAAUUAACAGAUGCAUGUUACAUAAAAUUGCCUUGUUUGAUCCACCAAAUUACUACAUGGUAAAGUUCCUCAAUACUCACCUCUCCACAGUGUCUUGAGAAAGUAACUUUCAUGCCAGCCUUAUCAACUUGCUCAGUAC